Molecule: ribosomal RNA, 792 nt
Filed under: Triticum aestivum (bread wheat)
Lineage: Eukaryota; Viridiplantae; Streptophyta; Magnoliopsida; Poales; Poaceae
Description: partial small subunit ribosomal RNA
Source: RNAcentral
AUGGGGGAAAUGGUAGCAUCAGCAGUUGUGCAGGAGGCUGUGAGUGGAGCCGUCUCCUUCCUGUUCAGCAGCCGCAGCGGAAAGGCAUCCCAGGAGGAACUCAUGGAGAGGCUGGAGAUGGCGCACAUAAAGCUGCAUGUUGGGCUCGAGAGGACCAAGAUGAUGCCCAUUACCAUCAUGCCGUUGCUUCGCCUGAGGAAGAAACUAAAGGAUGUCUUCAAGGAGUGCGAUGAUCUGCUCAGCAAGGUGAGGGAUCAUCAGCAAGUGGUACCCUCUUUACGUAGAAAGAUUAUGCACGCUGUGUUGCCAUCUUUCAUUGUCCCAAGUCAAGAUGUGUUGAGCAGCUCUGUGGUUGGAAGAUUUGAGCGGUUUGUCGAGGAAGCCGAAAGGUUUGUCAGAGACGUGGAGUCUGGAUCUUCACUUUCUCACUACAGGUUUCUCACUUCUUCGAUGAGGCAUCUUCUUGAAGGCAAGAGUCUCUCCUAUCGCAAAGUGCAAGGAAGCAAGGCUUUCUCACUUGGUAUAUGGACGGCUUUUGUGGAAGAGUAUGGCAGACUCGCAUUGCUAGGGUUUGAUUACAAAGAUCACAAGGCGCCACUUAAAAAUUGUUACAUGCAACUGAUUAUAAGAUUAUAUGAAAGCACAAACAUAGUUGGAAUUACCGCAAAAUGUUUGCGGUCACUUGGACCACAAUUCAAGUCUUUGGUUGAAGAUGCAACUGGGGGAACUCACCCAAUUACCUACACAAGACGUUUCAUAUUUCGAUUCAAUAUGGUUCGAAGACAUGGCUAA